RNAcentral lists this unclassified non-coding RNA (331 nucleotides) under soil metagenome. Its description in RNAcentral is "partial contains 5.8S ribosomal RNA, internal transcribed spacer 2, and large subunit ribosomal RNA". The stretch from base 1 to 120 matches the Rfam family "5.8S ribosomal RNA", at positions 35 to 154 of the family's 154-position model. The record is from RNAcentral.
GAUGAAGAACGUAGCGAAAUGCGAUAAGUAAUGUGAAUUGCAGAAUUCAGUGAAUCAUCGAAUCUUUGAACGCACAUUGCGCCCCCUGGUAUUCCGGGGGGCAUGCCUGUUCGAGCGUCAUUUCACCACUCAAGCCUCGCUUGGUAUUGGUCAACGCGGUCCGCCGCGUGCCUCAAAUCGACCGGCUGGGUCUUCUGUCCCCUAAGCGUUGUGGAAACUAUUCGCUAAAGGGUGUUCGGGAGGCUACGCCGUAAAACAACCCCAUUUCUAAGGUUGACCUCGGAUCAGGUAGGGAUACCCGCUGAACUUAAGCAUAUCAAUAAGCGGAGGA